UCCUUCCUUGUCUUGGGGAGCAGAAAUGUUCAAUGAACGUCUAGUGAGAACAUUGCUGCUGACACCAAUGAUAUAAAUAUCAACCCCCGUUCGACUAACGAUCGUUCGGAAUUUUUGGAAAU
Molecule: small nuclear RNA, 122 nt
Organism: Drosophila busckii
Lineage: Eukaryota; Metazoa; Arthropoda; Insecta; Diptera; Drosophilidae
Rfam family: U4atac minor spliceosomal RNA
About the family: U4atac is an essential component of the minor U12-type spliceosome complex which is required for removal of the rarer class of eukaryotic introns (AT-AC, U12-type).
Source: Rfam